Molecule: ribosomal RNA, 492 nt
Filed under: uncultured bacterium
Lineage: Bacteria
Description: partial 16S ribosomal RNA
Rfam family: Bacterial small subunit ribosomal RNA
Source: RNAcentral
AGUGAACGCUGGCGGUAGGCCUAACACAUGCAAGUCGAACGGCAGCACAGUAAGAGCUUGCUCUUACGGGUGGCGAGUGGCGGACGGGUGAGGAAUACAUCGGAAUCUACUUUUUCGUGGGGGAUAACGUAGGGAAACUUACGCUAAUACCGCAUACGACCUACGGGUGAAAGCAGGGGAUCUUCGGACCUUGCGCGAUUGAAUGAGCAGAUGUCGGAUUAGCUAGUUGGCGGGGUAAAGGCCCACCAAGGCGACGCUCCGUAGCUGGUCUGAGAGGAUGAUCAGCCACACUGGAACUGAGACACGGUCCAGACUCCUACGGGAGGCAGCAGUGGGGAAUAUUGGACAAUGGGCGCAAGCCUGAUCCAGCCAUACCGCGUGGGUGAAGAAGGCCUUCGGGUUGUAAAGCCCUUUUGUUGGGAAAGAAAAGCAGCAGGUUAAUACCCCGCUGUUCUGACGGUACCCAAAGAAUAAGCACCGGCUAACUUCGUG